This is a long non-coding RNA of Parus major (Great Tit), 680 nucleotides long. RefSeq lists it as uncharacterized. The record is from RefSeq and is a predicted model, not a curated record. The transcript has 2 exons. Lineage: Eukaryota; Metazoa; Chordata; Aves; Passeriformes; Paridae.
GGCUGUAACUGGAGGAGAAUGCUGCAGGUUAGCUGCUCACACUGUUGUGUCUCACACGUUUCUCUCCACACCCGGGGCAUGAAGAGGCUGGGCCUGCCCUCCAGGACAGCUCCAGCCCAUUUUGGCAGGGGUUGUGUAGCUUUUCCUGCUGGGCUGCCACACGUGCUGUUGUCAUCACUGUGCAGGACUCAGAGCAGCAGCAGGGAAGGGAUGAACACCACAACACAGGAAUACAACAGAGAGGGAGUUUCUCACUGUGCACUCCUGUAGCCACAGCAUCUCUCUCAGGGCUUUCCAAAAAAACCCAAAACAAACAAUGUAAAGCACCUCAUCAAUAGGUGUAGCUCCCAUUUUGCAGCUGUGAAAACACAGGUAUGGACAGAUUAAGUCUUGAUCCCAACAAAGGAAAUGACUGAAUCAGGAGCUUGAGUACUGGUGCUGGUUCAGUACUCAAGAAAUGGCUCCAGAAAUAUAUAACCUUAUUUUUCAAAUUCCUUAAAGUUCCUUUGGUUGAUGAACAACUCUACUUCCAUAUGGCCCAACUUAUUUAAAACACUUUUUAAAGGGGGAAAUUAAACUCUGUCUGAAUCAAAAUGUAACUGGGCUGUGACCCAAAAACUCAACUUGUAUUUACACGAAUAAGCAAUAAAAAAAAUAAAUUAAAAGAAAAAAAAAAAAAA